This 491-nucleotide ribosomal RNA is filed under the name uncultured bacterium. Its description in RNAcentral is "partial 16S ribosomal RNA". It matches the Rfam family "Bacterial small subunit ribosomal RNA", at positions 28 to 507 of the family's 1533-position model. The record is from RNAcentral.
GAUGAACGCUGGCUACAGGCUUAACACAUGCAAGUCGAGGGGAAACGACGGGGAAGCUUGCUUCCCCGGGCGUCGACCGGCGCACGGGUGAGUAACGCGUAUCCAACCUGCCUCUGACUGAGGGAUAACCCGUCGAAAGUCGGCCUAAUACCUCAUGGUAUCGUCUGCGGGCAUCCAACGACGAUUAAAGAUUUCAUCGGUCAGGGAUGGGGAUGCGUCUGAUUAGCUUGUUGGCGGGGUAACGGCCCACCAAGGCUACGAUCAGUAGGGGUUCUGAGAGGAAGGUCCCCCACAUUGGAACUGAGACACGGUCCAAACUCCUACGGGAGGCAGCAGUGAGGAAUAGUGGUCAAUGGGCGAGAGCCUGAACCAGCCAAGUAGCGUGCAGGAAGACGGCCCUAUGGGUUGUAAACUGCUUUUAUGCGGGGAUAAAGUGAGGGACGUGUCCCUCAUUGCAGGUACCGCAUGAAUAAGGACCGGCUAAUUCCGUG